RNAcentral lists this ribosomal RNA (403 nucleotides) under uncultured bacterium. RNAcentral describes it as "bacterial SSU rRNA". It matches the Rfam family "Bacterial small subunit ribosomal RNA", at positions 362 to 758 of the family's 1533-position model. The record is from RNAcentral.
UUUUGGACAAUGGGCGCAAGCCUGAUCCAGCAAUGCCGCGUGAGUGAAGAAGGCCUUCGGGUUGUAAAGCUCUUUUGUCAGGGAAGAAACGGUGAGCUCUAAUACAGUUUGCUAAUGACGGUACCUGAAGAAUAAGCACCGGCUAACUACGUGCCAGCAGCCGCGGUAAUACGUAGGGUGCAAGCGUUAAUCGGAAUUACUGGGCGUAAAGCGUGCGCAGGCGGUUAUGUAAGUCAGAUGUGAAAUCCCCGGGCUCAACCUGGGAAUGGCAUUUGAGACUGCAUGGCUAGAGUGUGUCAGAGGGGGGUAGAAUUCCACGUGUAGCAGUGAAAUGCGUAGAGAUGUGGAGGAAUACCGAUGGCGAAGGCAGCCCCCUGGGAUAAUACUGACGCUCAUCACGAAA